UACGUAGGGUGCAAGCGUUGUUCGGAAUCACUGGGCGUAAAGGGAGCGUAGGCGGACUUUUAAGUGAGAUGUGAAAUACCCGGGCUCAACUUGGGUGCUGCAUUUCAAACUGGAAGUCUAGAGUGCAGGAGAGGAGAAUGGAAUUCCUAGUGUAGCGGUGAAAUGCGUAGAGAUUAGGAAGAACACCAGUGGCGAAGGCGAUUCUCUGGACUGUAACUGACGCUGAGGCUCGAAAGCGUGGGGAGCAAACAGGAUUAGAUACCCCGGUA
RNAcentral lists this ribosomal RNA (269 nucleotides) under uncultured prokaryote. RNAcentral's name for it is "partial 16S ribosomal RNA". It matches the Rfam family "Bacterial small subunit ribosomal RNA", at positions 524 to 792 of the family's 1533-position model. The record is from RNAcentral.